This 465-nucleotide ribosomal RNA is filed under the name Vreelandella stevensii. RNAcentral describes it as "partial 16S ribosomal RNA". It matches the Rfam family "Bacterial small subunit ribosomal RNA", at positions 338 to 795 of the family's 1533-position model. The record is from RNAcentral. Lineage: Bacteria; Pseudomonadati; Pseudomonadota; Gammaproteobacteria; Oceanospirillales; Halomonadaceae.
CCUACGGGUGGCAGCAGUGGGGAAUAUUGGACAAUGGGGGCAACCCUGAUCCAGCCAUGCCGCGUGUGUGAAGAAGGCCCUCGGGUUGUAAAGCACUUUCAGUGAGGAAGAACGCCUGGUGGUUAAUACCCAUCAGGAAAGACAUCACUCACAGAAGAAGCACCGGCUAACUCCGUGCCAGCAGCCGCGGUAAUACGGAGGGUGCGAGCGUUAAUCGGAAUUACUGGGCGUAAAGCGCGCGUAGGUGGCUUGAUAAACCGGUUGUGAAAGCCCCGGGCUCAACCUGGGAACGGCAUCCGGAACUGUCAAGCUAGAGUGCAGGAGAGGAAGGUAGAAUUCCCGGUGUAGCGGUGAAAUGCGUAGAGAUCGGGAGGAAUACCAGUGGCGAAGGCGGCCUUCUGGACUGACACUGACACUGAGGUGCGAAAGCGUGGGUAGCAAACAGGAUUAGAUACCCUAGUAGUC